This 1317-nucleotide long non-coding RNA is filed under the name Paramuricea clavata. Lineage: Eukaryota; Metazoa; Cnidaria; Anthozoa; Malacalcyonacea; Plexauridae. The record is from RNAcentral.
AUAUAAUUUACAUAUAUUACACUCUUUAUCAAUUGCGUUGUAUUUUUUUUAACAUUGAAUGAUGUAUGCGUGGUAUUUUGAACUAAUCUCUAAUUUUCAAUCAAUGCAGACUAGCUGUCAUGUUUGCAAACCGUGUGCUGAAAUACUUUCUCCAAAAAAAGCAUGUACACACACAAUCACAAACAUGUUCUAAUUAGAGGCAAAGUUGUAUCGUUUACGCCUCAAACGUCAAGGUUUGACACCCAAAGUCUUGCACAAUACUUUAUAGGCACAAUUUGCAAUAAUUUUCUCAAUCUUGCUGAUAGCAUAAUUGUUUAAGGCAUUGUGUGUGAAAAUGAAACAAGGUCUGGGUCGAUUAAGUUUUGAAACAAAGUCCGACUCUUUUUUGUCCGACUUUCUCAAAUUUUUAUCAAAUUCUUUUCCAACUUUUUUAAAAUCUCAAAUUGUUUAUUAGACUUUUAUUGGUUGGGGUUAGAGAAGGGUUUAACUAUGAUAGAGUAGAAGGUGCUAUUCCGUAUUUAGGCGCAAGUGCAUGUACACGCUAAAGCCCAUUUUCCACAGGCAAUUUUUAUGUGCGAACAAUCACAUUCCCAAGAUUUGUUUUUCGCUUUGCACGAACAAAUUCACCUAGUGAAAAAUGGGCUUUAGGCAUUAACGACAGUAUGCCAGCAAAUCAUAAUUUCCUAAUUUCCAUCAAGCCAUCAAUUGAUGUAAAACUAUUUCCUUGUUAUCAUCCAAUGACUUUACUUAUUUGUCAAUUGAAUACAGCCGUUUUUCCCAAUAUCUUCUUGUUGCUUCCCCAAAUCUUGGCUUCGCACCACAACGUAUUGGAGAUUAUCCAACCAUUUUCCAAGCCAAUGUGCUAGCUAUUCAGAUCCUGUCUCAAAAAUCUGGCUGUGUCAGCCGCCACAAGAAUAAGUAAUAUCCAUAAAACAGUGAACACAUAGUACCAAGAAAAUAAAACGUGUCCAUCCAGCUUGCUUGAAACCAGACAAACAAAGAUGAAAUUUAAUACUACAAGCAAAAGAAACCAGAGUUUUCGCUUCACAGAGAGUUCAUCGUCAUAAAAACGUCUCCUAGAAUGCCUUAUAAUUCUCGACGAAACUACGAGUAUUAAAACGCCGUCGUAUAUUAAAACGGGUACGAAUACAACAAAAUAGUUCCAGUCGCUUUCACUGUCCACUCGUACGACUAAAAAAAUGGUUGUUAUUAAAGUUACACUCCAAAGACACAAUACUCUUGCAGGCAAAGGAACGCCGCCAACCAUAUUUGAAAGACUCGAGCUUCGUCCGCGCUUUGUUUUGACCCGUAGGAGAC